AACAUCGCGCACCUGCGGGAACCUGCGGAGGGAUCAUUAAUGCUUUAGCGGGUGUGUUGCGGCCCUCGAGGCCCCGUGCAUUCGCUGCACGGGAACAAGCUCCGGGAGGUGUAGGGUUCCCACGUGGGGCCCUCUCACGCGCACAUGACUGAAUCCUUACUUUACUCGUACCUCUCGUUCUCCUUCGGCGGGGCAGCCUGCCGUUGGAACAGCCAAAACUCUUUUUUUGCAUCCAGCAUU
This 240-nucleotide unclassified non-coding RNA is filed under the name soil metagenome. RNAcentral's name for it is "partial contains 5.8S ribosomal RNA, internal transcribed spacer 2, and large subunit ribosomal RNA". The record is from RNAcentral.